GAGCACUGUCAUGCCUUUGGGGAUUUUGACGGGGUAGCCAUCGACGAAGACCUCGAUGGCGUCAUCGGGUUUGGAGAAAUGAAUCCUAGCACCGGCGACAGGGGUCCGAGGAGGGAGAUCUGGUGGGGAAUCGGGCUGCGCUGUUGCCGCUUCUGGGUUUUUGAGCUCGGGCGUGGAGGUGAUGGUUCUGGUUAUAGGAUUUUGGGAAGCCAAAACCCUAGAGGAUCUGUGGAGAAUGGCGGGUCUCAGGGCUCUCGAAGCUAUCAACCCUAACCCCAUUUCUUUGGCUUUCUGUG
Molecule: long non-coding RNA, 296 nt
Filed under: Vitis vinifera (wine grape)
Lineage: Eukaryota; Viridiplantae; Streptophyta; Magnoliopsida; Vitales; Vitaceae
Description: long non-coding RNA (VVIN_LNC004726)
Source: RNAcentral